CGCCACGGACGACCGUGGUGCACGACAAAUGACGGCGGGACGGCCCGC
Molecule: non-coding RNA, 48 nt
Filed under: Pseudomonas sp. 8Z
Lineage: Bacteria; Pseudomonadati; Pseudomonadota; Gammaproteobacteria; Pseudomonadales; Pseudomonadaceae
Description: mini-ykkC
Rfam family: Guanidine-II riboswitch aptamer (mini-ykkC)
About the family: Simpler in structure and has fewer highly conserved nucleotide positions than the ykkC-yxkD leader. Despite this each of its two stem-loop structures directly bind free guanidine.
Source: RNAcentral